AUGCACGCUGGCGGCGUGCCUAAUACAUGCCAGUCGAGCGAACAGACGAGGAGCUUGCUCCUCUGACGUUAGCGGCGGACGGGUGAGUAACACGUGGAUAACCUACCUAUAAGACUGGGAUAACUUCGGGAAACCGGAGCUAAUACCGGAUAAUAUAUUGAACCGCAUGGUUCAAUAGUGAAAGACGGUUUUGCUGUCACUUAUAGAUGGAUCCGCGCCGCAUUAGCUAGUUGGUAAGGUAACGGCUUACCAAGGCGACGAUGCGUAGCCGACCUGAGAGGGUGAUCGGCCACACUGGAACUGAGACACGGUCCAGACUCCUACGGGAGGCAGCAGUAGGGAAUCUUCCGCAAAGGGCGAAAGCCUGACGGAGCAACGCCGCGUGAGUGAUGAAGGUCUUCGGAUCGUAAAACUCUGUUAUUAGGGAAGAACAAAUGUGUAAGUAACUAUGCACGUCUUGACGGUACCUAAUCAGAAAGCCACGGCUAACUACGUG
This 496-nucleotide ribosomal RNA is filed under the name uncultured bacterium. RNAcentral describes it as "partial 16S ribosomal RNA". It matches the Rfam family "Bacterial small subunit ribosomal RNA", at positions 29 to 507 of the family's 1533-position model. The record is from RNAcentral.